Molecule: ribosomal RNA, 492 nt
Filed under: uncultured bacterium
Lineage: Bacteria
Description: partial 16S ribosomal RNA
Rfam family: Bacterial small subunit ribosomal RNA
Source: RNAcentral
AGUGAACGCUGGCGGUAGGCCUAACACAUGCAAGUCGAACGGCAGCACAGUAAGAGCUUGCUCUUACGGGUGGCGAGUGGCGGACGGGUGAGUAAUACAUCGGAAUCUACUUUUUCGUGGGUGAUAACGUAGGGAAACUUACGCUAAUACCGCAUACGACCUACGGGUGAAAGCAGGGGAUCUUCGGACCUUGCGCGAUUGAAUGAGCCGAUGUCGGAUUAGCUAGUUGGCGGGGUAAAGGCCCACCAAGGCGACGAUCCGUAGCUGGUCUGAGAGGAUGAUCAGACACACGGGAACUGAGACACGGUCCAGACUCCUAAGGGAGGCAGCAGUGGGGAAUAUUGGACAAGGGGCGAAAGCCUGAUCCAGCAAUACCGCGUGGGUGAAGAAGGCCUUCGGGUUGGAAAGCCCUUUUGUUGGGAAAGAAAAGCAGCAGGUUAAUACCCCGCUGUUAUGACGGUACCCAAAGAAUAAGCACCGGCUAACUUCGUG